RNAcentral lists this ribosomal RNA (447 nucleotides) under uncultured bacterium. Its description in RNAcentral is "SSU rRNA". It matches the Rfam family "Bacterial small subunit ribosomal RNA", at positions 26 to 518 of the family's 1533-position model. The record is from RNAcentral.
AGAGCGAACGCUGGCGGCAGGCCUAACACAUGCAAGUCGAGCGCCCGUAGCAAUACGGGAGCGGCAGACGGGAUAGUAACACGUGGGAACGCGCCCUUCGGUUCGGAAUAACUCAGGGAAACUUGUGCUAAUACCGGAUAAGCCCUUACGGGGAAAGAUUUAUUGCCAAAGGAUCGGCCCGCGUCUGAUUAGCUUGUUGGUGAGGUAACGGCUCACCAAGGCUACGAUCAGUAGCUGGUCUGAGAGGAUGAUCAGCCUCACUGGGACUGAGACACGGCCCAGACUCCUACGGGAGGCAGCAGUGGGGAAUAUUGGACAAUGGGCGCAAGCCUGAUCCAGCCAUGCCGCGUGGAUGAUGAAGGCCCUAGGGUUGUAAAGUCCUUUCGACGGGGAAGAUAAUGACGGUACCCGUAGAAGAGCCCCGGCUAACUUCGUGCCAGCAGCCGC